This 373-nucleotide ribosomal RNA is filed under the name uncultured Atopobium sp. Its description in RNAcentral is "bacterial SSU rRNA". It matches the Rfam family "Bacterial small subunit ribosomal RNA", at positions 143 to 524 of the family's 1533-position model. Lineage: Bacteria; Bacillati; Actinomycetota; Coriobacteriia; Coriobacteriales; Atopobiaceae. The record is from RNAcentral.
AUAGCCUCGGGAAACCGAGGUUAAUACCGGAUACUCCAUAUAUAUCGCAUGAUGUAUAUGGGAAAAGCUCCGACGGCAAAGGAUGGGGCCCGCGGCCUGUUAGCUAGUUGGUGGGGUAACGGCCUACCCAAGGCAAUGAUGGGUAGCCGGGUUGAGAGACCGACCGGCCAGAUUGGGACUGAGACACGGCCCAGACUCCUACGGGAGGCAGCAGUGGGGAAUCUUGCACAAUGGGCGAAAGCCUGAUGCAGCGACGCCGCGUGCGGGAUGAAGGCCUUCGGGUCGUAAACCGCUUUCAGCAGGGACGAGGCCGCAAGGUGACGGUACCUGCAGAAGAAGCCCCGGCUAACUACGUGCCAGCAGCCGCGGUAAU